Molecule: long non-coding RNA, 484 nt
Organism: Mustela lutreola (European mink)
Lineage: Eukaryota; Metazoa; Chordata; Mammalia; Carnivora; Mustelidae
Exons: 2
Source: RefSeq, a predicted model, not a curated record
UUCCAUGUGAAAUACAUAUUAGCAAAGUAUUCUAUGCCUUUGCCCCUUUAAUUUUGUUUUCAAAAAUUCCCAUGACAAUAUUCAGGUAUCCAUGCCACACGAGGACACGUUUAAUGGGAAUCCUGCAGAUCAAAGGAGGGAGGUACACUGCUGCUGAGAACAGACCCUUCUAAGACAUCUUGCAAGGCCUUCACGGGAGGAAGUUACUUCUCUCCUCUUUGAUAUUGGACUUGGCCAUGGGACCAGCUUUGGUUAAGGAGAUAUUUGUAGAUGUAAGAAGAGGCUUGUGGUGGGCUUGCACAUGCAUUUUCCCCACUACUUGAGAAAAAAAGAAAAUGGGUAGCCACUGGUUUUUCACUAGUAAUGAAAAAUACAUGAAGCAGACCUGGAUUAACCCUCUUUUAGGAGCCAACCUGAAUUCUCAACCAGAUCAAACACUAAUCGGUAGACACAUAACAGAGAAUAAAUGAUUAUUGACAUAUGA